AAAAAUAAUGGAGAAUCUAAAAGAAAAAAUAAUAUGGAUAAAAGAAACCUUAGAAAAUUUAGAAAAAAGUACAUGUGACAGUUUAUAUAAUUUAAAAAACUCACUACGAGAAGAACAACACAAGAUAAUAAAUAACAUUGAAAAUCUAGAAUUAGAUAUACAUUACAGUACAGUUAGGAUAAAUUAUUAUACAGAAAUUUGUAACUCUGCAAUUACU
This 217-nucleotide long non-coding RNA is filed under the name Capsicum annuum. RNAcentral's name for it is "long non-coding RNA (CANN_LNC015649)". The record is from RNAcentral. Lineage: Eukaryota; Viridiplantae; Streptophyta; Magnoliopsida; Solanales; Solanaceae.